RNAcentral lists this ribosomal RNA (1506 nucleotides) under metagenome. RNAcentral's name for it is "bacterial SSU rRNA". It matches the Rfam family "Bacterial small subunit ribosomal RNA". The record is from RNAcentral.
AGAGUUUGAUCCUGGCUCAGGACGAACGCUGGCGGCGUGCCUAAUACAUGCAGGUAGAACGCUGAAGAGAGGAGCUUGCUCUUCUUGGAUGAGUUGCGAACGGGUGAGUAACGCGUAGGUAACCUGCCUUGUAGCGGGGGAUAACUAUUGGAAACGAUAGCUAAUACCGCAUAACAAUGGAUGACCCAUGUCAUUUAUUUGAAAGGGGCAAAUGCUCCACUACAAGAUGGACCUGCGUUGUAUUAGCUAGUAGGUGAGGUAACGGCUCACCUAGGCGACGAUACAUAGCCGACCUGAGAGGGUGAUCGGCCACACUGGGACUGAGACACGGCCCAGACUCCUACGGGAGGCAGCAGUAGGGAAUCUUCGGCAAUGGGGGCAACCCUGACCGAGCAACGCCGCGUGAGUGAAGAAGGUUUUCGGAUCGUAAAGCUCUGUUGUAAGUCAAGAACGAGUGUGAGAGUGGAAAGUUCACACUGUGACGGUAGCUUACCAGAAAGGGACGGCUAACUACGUGCCAGCAGCCGCGGUAAUACGUAGGUCCCGAGCGUUGUCCGGAUUUAUUGGGCGUAAAGCGAGCGCAGGCGGUUUGAUAAGUCUGAAGUUAAAGGCUGUGGCUCAACCAUAGUUCGCUUUGGAAACUGUCAAACUUGAGUGCAGAAGGGGAGAGUGGAAUUCCAUGUGUAGCGGUGAAAUGCGUAGAUAUAUGGAGGAACACCGGUGGCGAAAGCGGCUCUCUGGUCUGUAACUGACGCUGAGGCUCGAAAGCGUGGGGAGCGAACAGGAUUAGAUACCCUGGUAGUCCACGCCGUAAACGAUGAGUGCUAGGUGUUGGAUCCUUUCCGGGAUUCAGUGCCGCAGCUAACGCAUUAAGCACUCCGCCUGGGGAGUACGACCGCAAGGUUGAAACUCAAAGGAAUUGACGGGGGCCCGCACAAGCGGUGGAGCAUGUGGUUUAAUUCGAAGCAACGCGAAGAACCUUACCAGGUCUUGACAUCCCGAUGCUAUUUCUAGAGAUAGAAAGUUACUUCGGUACAUCGGUGACAGGUGGUGCAUGGUUGUCGUCAGCUCGUGUCGUGAGAUGUUGGGUUAAGUCCCGCAACGAGCGCAACCCCUAUUGUUAGUUGCCAUCAUUCAGUUGGGCACUCUAGCGAGACUGCCGGUAAUAAACCGGAGGAAGGUGGGGAUGACGUCAAAUCAUCAUGCCCCUUAUGACCUGGGCUACACACGUGCUACAAUGGUUGGUACAACGAGUUGCGAGUCGGUGACGGCAAGCUAAUCUCUUAAAGCCAAUCUCAGUUCGGAUUGUAGGCUGCAACUCGCCUACAUGAAGUCGGAAUCGCUAGUAAUCGCGGAUCAGCACGCCGCGGUGAAUACGUUCCCGGGCCUUGUACACACCGCCCGUCACACCACGAGAGUUUGUAACACCCGAAGUCGGUGAGGUAACCUUUUGGAGCCAGCCGCCUAAGGUGGGAUAGAUGAUUGGGGUGAAGUCGUAACAAGGUA